UUAAAAGCUACCCUAAAAAAUAUGUUUUGAGUUGAGAUUUAAAAGUGCCAAGAGAUGUUGCUUGCCUUAUCUCAGUUGGUAAAGAAUUCCACAGUUUUGGAGCUAGAGAAGAGAAGGCCCUAUCUCCCAUCGAUUUUAAACGAGUUGAGGGAACAGUUAAAAGACCAGUUUCAGAAGAACGAAGGUUGUGAGAUGGAAUAUAAGGAAUUAAAAGAUCAGCCAAAUAUUAAGGAGCUAACCCAUGUAAGGCCUUGUAGCGUAACGUCUUUCUCGGAGUCAGAAAAUCUUUGAACGAACGACUGCACAGCAUUCCCAAACCAAUGGGGCGAAAGGAACGGAAGAAGCAGACAAAACAUUUUUAAUCCUGGAAUGGCAUGAUUGCAUGAUUUUCUUCUGAUGCUUUGAGGCUUAAGAAAGAAAUCUACACUCAAAAUACAUCUGCUUGCUCUUUUGUAUCAAGUGAGAAGCCACGUCUCUGCUUUUGGACGCCGCCAUGUUUAGCCUCCACAGUUCCCAA
Molecule: long non-coding RNA, 517 nt
Organism: Tachysurus fulvidraco (yellow catfish)
Lineage: Eukaryota; Metazoa; Chordata; Actinopteri; Siluriformes; Bagridae
Exons: 4
Source: RefSeq, a predicted model, not a curated record